AUUUUGGGUUGCUGUCAACACCCCAAAAAAAAAGUUCGCAGCCUGAACUGACAGACCCAAAAUUUUAUCGUUCGGAAUUUGUUUCGUUUGUUGGCGCCAUGCCGUUUGUAUUUGGUGCAAGUCUAUUUUUUUCAAGGAAAAUCGUACGAAAAAUCCAUUAUCAAUUGCGAAAAUUUGAUCAUUAAAAUUGGAGGACUGGAUCAACAAAUAAUAAGGGGAACCACAUAAAUAGAAAGCGAAGCUUGAAUUGAGGCACCAUGAGUAUAAUGAAC
This is a long non-coding RNA of Uranotaenia lowii, 272 nucleotides long. RefSeq lists it as uncharacterized. The record is from RefSeq and is a predicted model, not a curated record. NCBI's taxonomy places the organism in Eukaryota, Metazoa, Arthropoda, Insecta, Diptera, Culicidae. The transcript has 3 exons.